ACGUAGGGUCCAAGCGUUAUCCGGAAUUACUGGGCGUAAAGAGUUGCGUAGGUGGCAUAGUAAGCGGGUAGUGAAAUCACCCCGCUCAACGGGGUUACCGCUAACUGAACUGCUAAGCUUGAGCACGAGAGAGGUAACUGGAACUGCUGGUGUAGGGGUGAAAUCCGUAGAUAUCAGCAAGAACACCGAUGGCGUAAGCAGGUUACUGGCUCGUUGCUGACACUAAGGCACGAAAGCGUGGGGAGCGAACGGGA
This 254-nucleotide ribosomal RNA is filed under the name uncultured prokaryote. Its description in RNAcentral is "partial 16S ribosomal RNA". It matches the Rfam family "Bacterial small subunit ribosomal RNA", at positions 525 to 777 of the family's 1533-position model. The record is from RNAcentral.